UGUCAAAAAAAUAACCCACUUUCAUACCAAAACACACUUAAACCAACAUAAAACUGUGUUUUUUCUGAGUUUUUCUCAGCGGAAGUUGGUUUUUGCUAUUAAAAGCGAGUUUUAUGUGCGCUAAACUGUGCUUAACUGAGUUUAAAGUUGGUUAUUUUAAGAAGAUGUGUGUUUAAGCGAGUUUUUUUCUGUAAGGAGUCAGUUUUUUUGUGUCAAAAGUGAGCCUUUUUAUUUAUGAGUUGGUUUAUGUGUGUUUAAGUGUGUCUUUUUGUUUUAUAAGCGAGUCUUUUACAACAGAAGUUGAUCCUUUUUAAACAGUAGUGGGUUUAAGCGAGUUUAAAUUGGUCUUUUUGUAAAUAAUUUGAGAGCUGAAACCAGGCUAAAAGACUCACUUAAACACACUUUUCAAUAAGUUGGUCUUUUGUUUAUAAAUAAUACUCAUCAAUAAAACAAGAAUUCUUCAAAUAGGUCUUUGUUUCAUGUUUAUAGCCAUUAUAUAAUACAAGUCAAUUGUAAAGGGGCUUUUUUACAGCUUGUUUGCCAUUGUCCCUAUUGUAAAUGUGUGUGCUCCCCAUAAUUUUUUAGUGAAUAUUGGAUGAAAAUGGCUCUUUCAGAACAUCACAGGUUCACAGAUGGACAACAAGUAUCACUGCCAAAAACUAUAAAAAUGAUAAAACUUAGUUUUAUACCUGAAAAUGAAAGAGUUUGUGUUUCGCUUUGAUUUUUUUCUUUAUAUUUGUUUUUAUUAUAAACAAUAUCUUAUGAUUGUUUUAUGUCUUAAAUUUUUUAUUUUUUUUAAAUUUUAAAACAAUCUUAUAUGAUUGUUUAUAUUUGUUUAAAACAGUAUUUACUUGUUAAAUCUGCAUAUUUAAAUAAUUAUGGUAUUGGAAACAUUAUUUUGGAAAUAAUCUAUUAAUUUGUGUACAUAAGUUAUGCAAGAUUUUGAUAUUUUCAUAUGAUACCAUUGUAUCCAUUUUCUUAAUUUGCAAUAAAAUAAUAUGAUGCCAAACAUGACCUGUGUUACAUAAACAGUCAACAAAAUAACAAGACAAUACCUAAAAACACCCCUUUUCACACCACUAACAAUAAACAGAUAACAAUCUGUCAGGCAUUCAGAGCUAAACAGGGUACUGAUUAUCAGGGGCAGAUAAGGCUACUGAUAGGGUUUGCCCAGACAUAAGGCUGGAAUGAGGUAUAAGACUUUUGAUUGGUUCAAUUUUUUGCACAGGAAAUUAUUUGAAAACAACAACUUUUGAAAAACAAGCUGGUUUCAGCAAUUGAAUUGAGCUAAAUUAAAUUAACAUUAAGACUUAUAAUUGUUCUGUAAAAUGUAUUGAAAUACUGUCAGCAUGAAGUAUUGUGUGAUGAAAACAAUGUGUAUUUUACUACAAUUUGGAAAUCAACAAUAAGUUUGUUGGAAAAGAAGUUCAACUGUUUUUUUUUGGAAUACUGAAGAACAGUUUUAACAGGUUUGUAUUGUCAUUUCUUCAUCCUUUUUUUAUUUAGUUUACUGAAUUAAUUAUGAUCAUUAUUAUAUUUAUGUAUUGUCACUGGGAAAUGUAAAUUGAUAAGUUAAUGUAUUGCAACUUAAAGGAAAAACAACACAAUUUGAAGCAAAAAUAGAUGAACAUACACAUGACAAAGUGUAAAUGUUGGGUACAGUGAAUUAUUGUGGUUGUGUUUUAUGAUUAUUGUCAUCUUUAUUGUUAUUUAUAGAUAUUUCUGGUUACUACUGAACAGAUUUCUUUCCCUCAUAUUUUAAUUUUGAAGGUUAAACUCUUGCCCCAAGAGCAAAAUCAUACUACCUGAUGUAUGGACUUUUACACCAGGCUUUUACCCUGCACGAGCUGGCCAACUUGAGGGGAACUGAAGUGGGCAAACCUCGCCCUGUCGUUGAACAAGGAAGCUGGAUUUGUUGAGAGAGUAUCAUUUAAGCUGAAAUCCAGCAUGAAACCAGGGAGGUGAUGGCCAUCGCACAGGCCAUGUGCCGACUAUUCACUUUUCACCAGCUUGUGACUUGCUCCAUGAAGGGAGCAACAACUACAAAGGGGUCACCAAGACCAAGCCUCCCCGCUGCUGAGAGAAAUGCAAUCAUUGAUGUCAUAGCCAAAACCUUUGACAAGCCUUCGGUUGAUGUUGAAGAAAAGAUGAGAGGUUGUUUAAGGCAUCUGCGGCUGAUGCACAAGUAGACUGAAGUCUUUGUAAAUAAAAUGUGCUGUUAAAAUGAUUAUUUAACCAUUGUUUUCACUUUGUUAUAUAGAUUUGCACCUGUUUCAACAACAUUAACUUAUUUUUAUGCUCCCGGUAGAGUCUCAUAUAGCAGUUGAACUGUCCGUCUGUCUGUCUAUCCGUCCGAAAACUUUAGCAUUGGUCAUAACUUUUGCAAUAUUGAAGAAAGCAACUUGAUAUUUAGCAUGCAUGUGAAUCUCAUUGAGCUGCACAUUUUGAGUGGUGCAAGGUCAAGGUCAUCCUUCAAGGUCAGAGGUCAAAAUCCAAUGGAAGAAAUAAGCAAAGAGAGAUAAUUUCUAUACCUGCCAAAUGAUAAAUAGAAAUUUUAUUUCAAAGCGGUGCAGUAGGGGGCAUUGUGUUUCUGACGAACACAUCCACAUCUCUUGUUUGUAUUUAUUCCAUACAAUCUUACUUUUUUCAGUUCUUUCUUUGUGUUCAAUGUUAUGUUAUAAAACUAUUAUAUUUUAUUAUAACAAUGCCAUGUCUGUCAAAAUAGUGUUAUCAUGCUGUGUAUAUGGAUAUAUAUGUAAAGUUUUAUGUUUUAUCGUUUAAAAAAAAGUAAUUAGAAUUUAAUUUAUGAUAUUUGUGUUCUUAUCAUAAAAAAGUAUCAGUUUUCAAGUGGGUGAAAAGUGGGUUUUUACUGAGCAUUUAACAGGUUUUAAAGCUAGUUUUAACUGCGUUUAAUCUGUGAAAAGCACACAUUUAGCUCACUUAAUGCUCAAAUAAAAACCCACUUUUAACUCGCUUAAGAACAGGAAAAACCGACUUGAUGUGUAGAAGCGGGUGUAAAAGCCAACAUAAAGAAGGAGAACACACUAACUUUUAACCAACUUAAGUUGGUAAAACUCGGUUUUAAAGCGUGUUUUAACUGCGUUUAAUCUGAGUUAAGCACACAUUUAGCUUACUUAACACUCAAACAAAAACCAACUUUUAACUCGCUUAAGAACAGGAAAAACCGACUUGAUGUGUAGAAGCGGGUUUAAAAGCCAACAUAGAGAAGGAAAACACACUCACUUUUAACCCACUUAAGUGGGUUUAAGUUAGUUUUAGUUGGUUUAAGUUGGUAUAAGAAGGUAUAAGCGUGUUGGUUUAUGUGAGUGAAAUCCAGGUUUUACCUACAAAAAACCAAGUCGGUAAGCAAAAAGUGUGUUUAAAAGACACGCUUUAACCCGGUGCCAAUACCGCAGGGUUUAACACGGUUUUAACACGGAUUAAAACCGGGUUUUGCCCACUUUUUUGACAAG
Molecule: long non-coding RNA, 3473 nt
Organism: Dreissena polymorpha
Lineage: Eukaryota; Metazoa; Mollusca; Bivalvia; Myida; Dreissenidae
Exons: 3
Source: RefSeq, a predicted model, not a curated record